This 972-nucleotide ribosomal RNA is filed under the name Salmonella enterica subsp. enterica serovar Liverpool. RNAcentral's name for it is "partial 23S ribosomal RNA". It matches the Rfam family "Bacterial large subunit ribosomal RNA", at positions 253 to 1236 of the family's 2925-position model. The record is from RNAcentral. Lineage: Bacteria; Pseudomonadati; Pseudomonadota; Gammaproteobacteria; Enterobacterales; Enterobacteriaceae.
GCGAACGGGGAGGAGCCCAGAGCCUGAAUCAGCAUGUGUGUUAGUGGAAGCGUCUGGAAAGGCGCGCGAUACAGGGUGACAGCCCCGUACACAAAAGCGCAUGUGCUGUGAGCUCGAUGAGUAGGGCGGGACACGUGGUAUCCUGUCUGAAUAUGGGGGGACCAUCCUCCAAGGCUAAAUACUCCUGACUGACCGAUAGUGAACCAGUACCGUGAGGGAAAGGCGAAAAGAACCCCGGCGAGGGGAGUGAAAAAGAACCUGAAACCGUGUACGUACAAGCAGUGGGAGCACAGGUUUACCUGUGUGACUGCGUACCUUUUGUAUAAUGGGUCAGCGACUUAUAUUCUGUAGCAAGGUUAACCGAAUAGGGGAGCCGGAGGGAAACCGAGUCUUAAUUGGGCGUUAAGUUGCAGGGUAUAGACCCGAAACCCGGUGAUCUAGCCAUGGGCAGGUUGAAGGUUGGGUAACACUAACUGGAGGACCGAACCGACUAAUGUUGAAAAAUUAGCGGAUGACCUGUGGCUGGGGGUGAAAGGCCAAUCAAACCGGGAGAUAGCUGGUUCUCCCCGAAAGCUAUUUAGGUAGCGCCUCGUGAAUUCAUCUCCGGGGGUAGAGCACUGUUUCGGCUAGGGGGCCAUCCCGGCUUACCAACCCGAUGCAAACUGCGAAUACCGGAGAAUGUUAUCACGGGAGACACACGGCGGGUGCUAACGUCCGUCGUGAAGAGGGAAACAACCCAGACCGCCAGCUAAGGUCCCAAAGUCAUGGUUAAGUGGGAAACGAUGUGGGAAGGCCCAGACAGCCAGGAUGUUGGCUUAGAAGCAGCCAUCAUUUAAAGAAAGCGUAAUAGCUCACUGGUCGAGUCGGCCUGCGCGGAAGAUGUAACGGGGCUAAACCAUGCACCGAAGCUGCGGCAGCGAACGUAUCACUUAAAGCGAUUCAGCGGGUUACGAUUGACGGAGCGAAGCGACG